GCGGCGCCUCCUCUACGUAACGUUCACUUUCCCUGACUCUGUAUAUUUGGCAUGGAUGGAGACAGCAGAGCCGUGAAGAAAUGAAAAGAGCGCGAAAAGGACAAACAACAAUCCUUCAUUGUUGGUCAACACCAACAACUAAAAAAAAGGAAAUAUCUUGACCAAAAAGAGGUAAAAUAGUCUACCUGUCCUGUUAAGUUAGCUGAUGAUUUGUGACUGGAGUUGGUUUGAGCUUGUCCUGUGAGGUACAGCCAGAGAGUGUCGGGGAUGUACUGUGUAGGACCAAUGUCAGUUUUCACUGAAUUGUAACUUAAAGGGCUGUUUGCUGACUUUGCUCCAAUACACAGUGAUGGAUGGCGGCGUAGUUAAACUGCAUUUCUCGGGGAACCGGGCAGGUCGUAAUGUCGCUGUUUUCCACAUCAAAUAUCUUUUCAGUAGUGAAGCUAUUUUACUGAUCAAACAACGCAAUACCAUACACAGAAGCUACAUUUUUCCAGGCAUUUCUAAAUCCUGAAGGAACAGGAAUGUCUGCGUCGGCCUGAAGCGGUAACCAUGGUGACAACAGACGCUCUGCUGCAGCAGGGUGGCUGCGGAGCACGCAGCCGGUGACAGUGACAGAGGAGGGGAAGAGAAGUACUUCAUCUCGUGAAUCUUGACAAAAUUUGGGAAAUACCUGAAUGUAUUUAUUUCCUCAAAUUGUUCUUUUACCUUACUGGUCAUUUUUAACCGGGCUGAUACCAUUUUAACAUUAACUAAGCAUUUUUUUAUACCAGGUUCAAGAAUAUGAUUGCUGAACAGGCCAUGAAAGAGAGGCAGGUGACCAGAGAGGGAGAAGUACAGAUGAGGAGAGAGAGAGAGGAGGUGACAGAGGAGGUGCAACAGUUGAGCAAGAGAGAGGAGGAGGAGGUGACAGAGGAAGUCCAGGUGAUGGAGGAUCAUCAGGUGACCAAAGAGAGGGAGAGAGAGCACAGGGAAAGGCAGCACAGGAGGCACAAAUGACCAGGUAACAUACCUUAGCCCUUGUACUGUGUUAGCUUUCUCGAUAUAUUUCUUUUCAUAGAUAGUUGACAUAAACCCAAAAUCAAUUAAGUGGAAGCUGCUACGGUCUUGCUAGCUAGUACUUAAACACAAUAGGAAUUAAUUGGUCAUUGUUGCAUAAAUACAUAAGUACACAGCUGCAACAACUUCAAGUAAAUCACCAAUGUAUUUCUAAUACAGACAUGCCAAAUUACCACGACUCCUUUUACAAAGGUAAACGAUUCAAUAAAUACCAAUAAACAGGCACAGAGUUUAACCCCCCCAAUGGAAGACCCAAAGUUACGCCCUUGGUCCUGAGGAUCAGAAAAGCAAGCUAAUCUGCCAGGCAUAUGAUGGAGCCAGUGUGAUGAGGGGUGCCUCUGCAGGUGUUUAGAGGAAAAUCAAAGAUGUGUACCCAAAUGCCCACUAUAUCCACUGCUAUGCACACCAACUCAACCUGAUCAUGCAGCAGGCCACCUCUCACAUUUCCAAGGUGAGAAUUUUUUUCUGACCUGGGUGGAUUUGCCAGCUUUUUUUCCAGAUCACCCAAGCGUACAGCUGUUCUUGAUAAAAUGGUGGCCCAUAGACUGCCAACAUCCAGCAAUGUCAGAUGGAACUUUCACAGUCGAGCCAUCAACACCGUUUGAGCACAGAGAGGAUCUCUUUCAGUGUUUUGAGAACAUACAAGACUCAGGUGACUUUGAUGCCAGUACCAUCAGAGAGGCAGGAGCCAUGACCAUGCUGCUGGAACAUCAGGACUUUAAGUUCUUUCUGGAACUUUUUCACCACAUCGUGCCACAUGUGGACCUCCUCUAUGCCAAGCUCCAGAAGAAGAACAUAGAUGCAGUCCACAUAAAAGUGAGCAUCUAGCAGUUUGAACAGGACAUGGAAAACAUCAGAAAUUCUCUCCAUUCCAUGGGUGAGCAAAGAAGUGGCUGUCCGACAGCAAAGAGGCGUCGGUCACUCAGUUCAGAGGAUCGUCAAAGGGUUGCAGAAGAGAUCUGCAACACCUUUCUGGGACACACCAAGGAGCGCUUCUCCUUCACCGACCGUCUCGUCUGUACAACUUUGUUGCAGGGGGACAGGUUUGAAGAACAUCACGGGUCAUUUCCUGAAGAGGCACUGCAACGCACUUUGAAGGCCUACCCGAUGCUGAAUGAAUUAGAUAUGAUAUAGAUAUUCGAAUUAAAGUCUCCCCACUACAGAGUAUAAAUGUUGCUUUGUCUAGUAAACGAGUUGGUGGUGUCUUUAAGUUUAUUUUUAAUUCAACCUCCAAACUUGGAGGCUCAUUUGAGACUCCUGUAAUGACACCACCUCCAUCUGCUCCAUCACAGACUGACCAGCCCACCUGCUGGUCUUCUGUGCAUCACCUGAGCCUUAUUUUCAAUAUUUAGAAAUUACAGGCCUUUCUCAAGCCCAGGCCCGGAGUGGCUGAUCGGGAGGACUGGGACAUUUCCCGGUGGCUCGGUCUGAUGUUUGGGCUGCGAGGGCCGGUGUUCAGUCAUGCCACUGGAUUGAUCAUUCCGCUGCUGCCGCUGUUCCUGUGCCGCCUCCAUUGGCAGCUCUUUUUUUUUUUUUUUUUUGUUGCAGACGCACCGUGACGUAACACGUCCGUGCACACGGUCAGAGGUGUUUGAAACAUAUAUGUCUAUGGUUUGAAAGAUGAAAACAGGAAGAGCAAAGGUGGUGUGUAGUGGUGACCCAUUUUAUUUUUUAUCAUUAAAAGACAGUAAAUACACAAAGCCCACAAUUGACAGGGAAUAGGAAGAGAUAAAAACAUUUACUGUCAUUACUGAUGUGGUCCAGUUUUAAUAAAGUUCAUGCAACUUUUAUAAAAUGAUGAAAGUGAAUAACUGGUAUUUGUGUGAUCUGUGUUUGAUAGCUGUCUUUUCUCCUGUCAUCCAGAUGUUCAGAGGGAGGUGAUGCCACAUCUGGUCCAGCUGAUGGAAGGUCUUGAAGUUCUCUGACUGAAGAUGAUCCUCUGACUGGAUUUAAGGUUCAGAUGCUCAGGAACAAACUCCACCAAUGAGCCAACAGGGAAGCUUUAGGAUUAUUAAAUGUUGCUAUGAAGGUUUCGCUGUUUUUCUUUGUGAAUGCAAUGUGCUCCAACUGAAACUUGAAUUAGAACGUAGCAGUAAAUCCUUCCAUCUGACAGGAUUUAGUUGCAUUAAUAACCUCAUAACAUUCUAAUUUUUAUCCCAGUCUUGGUUGGAAAUAGAAUCUCUGUAUUGAUUCAGGUAAAAACUGAACUUCACAGCAUGUUGGAGCAAAACAAGCAGAUGAAAAGUGUGAUGGUGUUGGGUUGUCAGACCGUAAUGUUGCAGCUCAAAGCAGCUUUUCUAUCUCAGUUCAUUCUGACAUUCAGCUCUGAAUCUACAGCAGAUCCAGUUGAUGGUGAUCCAUGCUGUGGAAGUCUCACAUCUCCUCAUUUAAUUACACUGUUUUUUUCACCAACACUUUAUUUAAUAAAAGUCCCAUUUAGUUUUUAUGAGGAAUGUGACGUUUUAAUUUCUCUGUGAAUAACUGCAGUCUAGUGGAACAGCUGGAGUUGUAACAUCUGUCCUGAUAUUGAUCAUGAAGUACUGAUCAGAAUACUUUUGGUUAGCAGUCAUCCCUGAAGUUUUACAUGAAAAAAUCUUUACUUGUGUUGUGAACUUUGGUAAGAAGCAGAAACUUUAGCGUUGCCAUGGAUACAUGGAUGUUAAAUUCAGCCCAUGUGUCAUUUUGGGAUGCAGUCCAGCAGAUGACUUUGUUUUUACUGACAGCUACCAUUCAGUCUGAGAUACUAAGAAUAAAUAAAUGUGCAUAAUGUGGAAAUGAA
Molecule: long non-coding RNA, 3838 nt
Organism: Acanthochromis polyacanthus (spiny chromis)
Lineage: Eukaryota; Metazoa; Chordata; Actinopteri; Pomacentridae
Exons: 3
Source: RefSeq, a predicted model, not a curated record